AUUGAACGCUGGCGGAAUGCUUUACACAUGCAAGUCGGGCGGCAGCGCGGGGGCAACCCUGGCGGCGAGCGGCGAACGGGUGAGUAACACGUGGGUGACCUGCCCUCAGCUCUGGGAUAAGCCUGGGAAACCGGGUCUAAUACUGGAUAUGACUCCAUGACGCAUGUUGUGGGGUGGAAAGCCUUGUGCGGCUGAGGAUGGGCCCGCGGCCUAUCAGCUUGNGGUGGGGUGAUGGCCUACCAAGGCGACGACGGGUAGCCGGCCUGAGAGGGCGACCGGCCACACUGGGACUGAGACACGGCCCAGACUCCUACGGGGAGGCAGCAGUGGGGAAUCUUGGGCAAUGGGCGCAAGCCUGACCCAGCAAUACCGCGUGAGGGA
This 381-nucleotide ribosomal RNA is filed under the name uncultured bacterium. Its description in RNAcentral is "bacterial SSU rRNA". It matches the Rfam family "Bacterial small subunit ribosomal RNA", at positions 28 to 408 of the family's 1533-position model. The record is from RNAcentral.